RNAcentral lists this ribosomal RNA (253 nucleotides) under uncultured bacterium. RNAcentral describes it as "partial 16S ribosomal RNA". It matches the Rfam family "Bacterial small subunit ribosomal RNA", at positions 524 to 776 of the family's 1533-position model. The record is from RNAcentral.
UACGGAGGGUGCAAGCGUUAAUCGGAAUUACUGGGCGUAAAGCGCACGUAGGCGGCUUGGCAUGUCGGGUGUGAAAUCCCCGGGCUCAACCUGGGAACUGCAUCCGAAACUGCCUUGCUAGAGUAUGGGAGAGGGAAGCGGAAUUUCUGGUGUAGCAGUGAAAUGCGUAGAUAUCAGAAGGAACAUCAGUGGCGAAGGCGGCUUCCUGGACCAAUACUGACGCUCAGGUGCGAAAGCGUGGGGAGCAAACAGG